AUGAGAUUAGGUUAUUGGUAAGCUGAAGGAAGACAGCAUCAAUGGGUAAGAAGGUCCGUGUAGGCUCGAGAUGUGUUGAGAGAAAUUGGAUCCAGUGGUUGAGGUUUAUCAUCUUAGAUUUGACUGAUUAAAUCGGAGUAAAAAGAUUUGUUUCUUGUUUGUUGUGAGCAGGUAUGAUUUGACUGAUUAAUUGGGAAUGGCGGUAU
This 206-nucleotide long non-coding RNA is filed under the name Aquilegia coerulea. Its description in RNAcentral is "long non-coding RNA (ACOE_LNC000974)". The record is from RNAcentral. Lineage: Eukaryota; Viridiplantae; Streptophyta; Magnoliopsida; Ranunculales; Ranunculaceae.